Molecule: ribosomal RNA, 273 nt
Filed under: uncultured bacterium
Lineage: Bacteria
Description: partial 16S ribosomal RNA
Rfam family: Bacterial small subunit ribosomal RNA
Source: RNAcentral
AUACGAAGGGGGCAAGCGUUGUUCGGAAUAACUGGGCGUAAAGCGCACGUAGGCGGAAUGUUAAGUUAGAGGUGAAAUCCCAGGGCUCAACCCUGGAACGGCCUUUAAUACUGGCAAUCUAGAGACCGAGAGAGGUGAGUGGAAUUCCGAGUGUAGAGGUGAAAUUCGUAGAUAUUCGGAGGAACACCAGUGGCGAAGGCGGCUCACUGGCUCGGUACUGACGCUGAGGUGCGAAAGCGUGGGGAGCAAACAGGAUUAGAAACCCAGUAGUCC